AUCUUAGUACAAAAAAUUAACG
Molecule: small nuclear RNA, 22 nt
Filed under: Arabidopsis thaliana (thale cress)
Lineage: Eukaryota; Viridiplantae; Streptophyta; Magnoliopsida; Brassicales; Brassicaceae
Description: snRNA_15049
Source: RNAcentral